Molecule: ribosomal RNA, 27 nt
Filed under: Goodenia disperma
Lineage: Eukaryota; Viridiplantae; Streptophyta; Magnoliopsida; Asterales; Goodeniaceae
Description: partial 18S small subunit ribosomal RNA
Source: RNAcentral
UUUCGUAGUGAACUGCGAAAGAUCAUG